Molecule: non-coding RNA, 244 nt
Organism: Pelobates cultripes (western spadefoot toad)
Lineage: Eukaryota; Metazoa; Chordata; Amphibia; Anura; Pelobatidae
Source: the annotation of a GenBank genome assembly
AUUGAAUAUGCUGUGCAAUUUUGGGCACCUGUUCUAAAGAAGGAUAUUAUGGCACUAGAAAAAGUGCAGAGGCGGGCUACAAAAUUAAUAAAAGGAAUGGAACAUAUCGGCUAUGAAGAAAGGUUAACAAAUUUAAACCUAUUUAGUUUAGAAAAACGUCGCCUGAGAGGGGAUAUGAUAACAUUAUACAAAUAUAUUUGGGGCCAAUACAAACCAUUGUGUGGAAAUUUAUUCACAAACCAGA